CACCCUAGCACCUAAACCAGUCCAACCAACCAGCCAGCAAGGACCCAACCAGCUAACCGACCCACCCGCACCCACGCCCACGCUCGAUCCGUUAACCCACCCGCAGGCCCAACGCACACCCGAGGCCCGACAGCCUGUUGCCAUUUCCUUUCCCUUUCUCGAGCGAGCGGUUGGCGGCGGCGGUGGCGGUGGCGGCGCUGCGAUUCCGGGGGUUUGCGGCAGUGGUACUGCAGUUCGUUAGCCGCGAGCCGUUGGCAGCCGCUGGUUCUCCUCCUCUCCCAACCUCCCCCACACUUCGUUCGUGAACUGCGUCACGGCUUCGGCGGCUGCGAUUUCCAGGCGGCAAGCGGUGCGUGGCAGCACCAAGCAGCGGAAUCAGCGGGAUAACGCGUUCUUCGAGGCGGGAUGUGGCAAUCUCGAGCGACGGCAGCAGCGGUUCGGGCGCGGCUUUAGUCCGUUGCAGGCUGCGAUGGAUGGGAGGCUCCCCCGAGCCUACGCGUGGCUCUCCGGGGAGCAUCACAAGCUUGUUGCCUCUUCGCAUCCUCAAAAUCCCGUCAUCAAUUUGACGUUCAUGGAUGUUCAGUUUUGAUUGGAUGUUUUGUUUCUGGGUAGUUCAUCCAGUUGUAGCUAGAGUGACACAAAUUUAAAAUCUCUGGUGAUCUGACGCAUUUUACUGAGGACUUAGUCCAGCAGAUAGGCAUUUUGGCUUCAGUAACUUGUUAGUUGAUUAGCACCAUGCCUUUUUUUUUGUUAGUUCAGUAGAACAAUUUGUUGUCUCUUCCGCAGUAGCUUGUUUUUUACUAGCACGCUACCUGCGCUAUGUUCAGCAUCACAUAGAAGAUGCACCUAUAGGUUUCUAGUUGAUUUUUUACAGCAACAAUCGAUGGGAACUAAUUCAGAUAGAUGAGCUUGUCAGUAUUUUUUUCCUUUUAUUCAGUAAUUUAUUUCUUUGGUAGCUCACUUUUUCUUCAAUAUUUCCCUUUUUCCUCAUCUAUCUCUGUUUUUUCGGUAGCUCUUUUUUCAGUAAUUUUUUGGUAGCUCUUUUUUCAGUAAUUUUUAGAGCUAUUUUCUAUUCAUCAGUAUUUUAUUUUUCUUUAGUAUUUUUUAGUAACCAUAGUAAAUGAUGGUUCAGUAAUUUCAUUUAUUCCCAACGAAAAAAAAGAUGAGAUUCACUGUUGUGCACCUUGCAGCCUUUAAUUCUCUUUUGUUUCUCUUGAUGGUAGUGAGGAUACCAAUUGCUGUCAAUUUCUGCAAACACAGCACCCUUCAAUAUUAUUUUGCGUUAGUAACCUUAGUAAUCGAUGGUCCGAUAAUUCUCCUAAUCUCCUUUGCUUUAGUAGUUUUACUUUCAGUAACUUUAAUUUAGUGGCAUUCCCAAUAAGCAUUCAACGAUCCGCCUUUCAGUAAUUUAGUAACUCUAAUCUCCAUAUUUUCCAUUAUCUAGUAAUCCAAAGCUAAACAUUCCAUAGCCCAACUGAUAGAAACUGUGCUACUUUGAUUACUAACAAGUUUCAGUAGUAAAUUUCAUUUUGUACACAGCCACAAAGACAGUUGCACUCAUCUGCAUACAUAGUUUCAGUAGCUUUCAUUUCCAUGAUUUUUUUAGAAACUGUGCUACUUUUUUAUUCUUGCCCAGCAACCAUAGUAUUUUCAGUUAGUUAAGUAAAUCACAUAGUAGUGUUUAGUAAUUACUGAACCAUUACUGUUUCAGUAAUUCGAUAUGCUUCAGUAUUUUAUUAUCUCCUUUAAUUUUUUAUCAGGUCAGCCAUAAUCUGAACAACAAUUACAUUUUUACUUCAGUAAUCUCCUUCCCAGUUAUCUAAUUCAGUAAUUGAUCUUCUUUUUUCAGUAAUUCCUUAUAGUAAUGUCACUACUUCAUCUUAUCCUUUUUUGUAAUUGACUAUACCUAUGCUUUUAGUAAUCCUUAUUAAUUCAGCAACCCCAAUGCAUACAAUUCUGGAAUUCAGUAGUCUAUUUUUCUCCAACUAUUGAUAUAGCAUAUUUAGUAGUCUUUCCAUUUUUCUUGGUUGAGUAACUCGAAUGAUAAGAUUGAUUAGUUAGUGUUAUUCCUUUCUUUUAAUAGCACCUUUUGUUUAGUAUUUCAACUCAGUGAUUCAAAUCAUAUAUACAGCAGCUUGUCUGUGUAAUUAUGUUUUUCAGUAUCCGAUUUCUUUUUUUAGUAAUUAUGUUCAGUGAUCCAUCAAAUUUGAUUCGGUAGUCAAUCCACUGAGUUCAGUAAUUAGUAUUGUUUAGUUAUAUAUCCAGUAAUAUUGGUUAGUAACUAAUCUUGUUUAUGUAAUUUCAGUAGUCGAUCCAUUGUGUUCAGAUUUAGUUGGGAUUUAGUUUGUUUUUUCAAGUAAUCCGUUUCCUUUGGUGGCUCUUUUUCUUUAGUAAGUUCUUUUGGCCAGUGCCUGAUGCUCGAUGAGAAUGAACUAAAUCUCAACUCCCGCUGGAUUAGGGUGAUUCUGCUCGUAACACAUUUGUAUAGGGCACAACUUCUUUACUACGUUUAAAUUCCACAAGCUUGCGCCUGGCAAUCUGAAUUUGUUCAGUAAUACUUUUUUGUAUCCUCGGUAAUACCAACUUGUCCAGUAACACUUUUUGUGCUCUCAUGUUAUGAAUUGGUAUUUAGUGAACAUGCCGAGGAAUGCCAUCACGCGGUUACUUAAAAAGUUGAGCGGCCGAGGAAUGCCGUCACACAGUUACUUAAAAGUUGAGCCAGGCUUGAUUGACUCGGCGUUGCAUCACCACUAGCCAUCCCGGGAAGCAGAUUCUACUGAGAUCCGAGGAGUUUUUAAGCAUCUGGAAGCCCAGAGAUUUAGGAUUCGGCUUUUUACUGAACACAUUUUGUAUUUUGCUUAAUGGGGUUUUAGUAUUACUUGUAAAAUUUUACAACUGGUAUCUUAGAAAUUUGUAUCAUUCUUAGCAA
Long non-coding RNA from Panicum virgatum (switchgrass), 2929 nucleotides. RefSeq lists it as uncharacterized. The transcript has 2 exons. NCBI's taxonomy places the organism in Eukaryota, Viridiplantae, Streptophyta, Magnoliopsida, Poales, Poaceae. The record is from RefSeq and is a predicted model, not a curated record.